UCUCGGCAACGGAUAUCUCGGCUCUCGCAUCGAUNAANAACGUANCGAAAUGCGAUACCUGGUGUGAAUUGCAAAAUCCCGCGAACCAUCGAGUCUUUGAACGCAAGUUGCGCCCGAGGCCACUCGGCCGAGGGCACGCCUGCCUGGGCGUCACGCCAAAACACGCUU
RNAcentral lists this ribosomal RNA (168 nucleotides) under Bromus ayacuchensis. Its description in RNAcentral is "5.8S ribosomal RNA". It matches the Rfam family "5.8S ribosomal RNA". From Rfam's summary of the family: 5.8S ribosomal RNA (5.8S rRNA) is a component of the large subunit of the eukaryotic ribosome. It is transcribed by RNA polymerase I as part of the 45S precursor that also contains 18S and 28S rRNA. Lineage: Eukaryota; Viridiplantae; Streptophyta; Magnoliopsida; Poales; Poaceae. The record is from RNAcentral.